CCCCCGCCCUCCUCCCUCCUCCUCUACGGUUUUGGGCUAAUCAUUCUAACCUUUUAGUUUUUAGCUACUCAUUCUUACCAAGUUUAGUUUUGUAAAAUAUGGCGACUGGAUACGAGAUUGUUCAGACCCUGAAUAAGAAGAGGUUCCCAAACAAGUUCGAGAAUUUAGGGUACAACAGGACGUUUCUGAAUGGCGUAAUUGUGCCAAGUGUAAGCAAAUGCCUACAGAGCCUGAGAAUGGAUGCUGCAGGGAGAUGCCACAGGUAACAAGAAGACUACUGCAGCUUCCAAACCAACCAACGUGCAUCAUCCGGGACUUUUAGCUGUGUGAUUGAAUGUGUUCUCACUAAAGAAUGCAUUCAACAUCUAUAGAGCAGACUAUGGGCCUUAUGUCUAAGGGGAAUAUAGCAACGUUACAGGUAUUUGGUGUACAGAAGCUUUGUUAGCAGGUCUUGGGGCUUUCUGGGACGGAGAAUCUGGGUGGUCCUGCUCUUCUGCUCCAGAUGGUGCUUUGGAGGAUCUGUCUGACAGGCCACAUGAUGUAGCCUAGGACACUGUUCAGAUGUUCUUCCUUAACCACAAGAGCAGCAAUGUUAUUCAUGUUUUUUCCUGAAUGUAAUAAAAGGAAAAUACUCCAUACUGUAAA
Clupea harengus (Atlantic herring) is the source of this 645-nucleotide long non-coding RNA. NCBI's taxonomy places the organism in Eukaryota, Metazoa, Chordata, Actinopteri, Clupeiformes, Clupeidae. The record is from Ensembl.